CUACGGGACGCAGCAGUCGAGGAAAUUUUACAAUGCUCGCAAGAGUGAUAAAAUAAGCCAGAGUGUUUCUCCUAGAGAAACUUUUAUCUACUGUAAAAAGGCAGAUGAAUAAGGACUGGGCAAGACCGGUGCCAGCCGCCGCGGUAAUACCGGCGGUCCAAGUCGCAUCCACAUUUAUUGAGUCUAAAACAUUCGUAGCUUGUUUUAUAAGUCUCUUGUGAAAUCCUAUAUCUCAAGUAUAGGGCGUGCAAGAGAUACUAUAUUACUAGAGACUGGAAGACGCAAAGAGUAUGAUUGAGGUAGCGGUAAAAUGUGUUAAUCUCAAUUAGACUAACAAUGGCGAAGGCACUUUGCGAGUACAGAUCUAACAGUGAGGGAUGAAGGCUAGGGGCGCAAAAGGGAUUAGAUACCCUAGUAGUC
This 420-nucleotide ribosomal RNA is filed under the name uncultured archaeon. Its description in RNAcentral is "partial 16S ribosomal RNA". It matches the Rfam family "Archaeal small subunit ribosomal RNA", at positions 323 to 746 of the family's 1478-position model. The record is from RNAcentral.